GACGAACGCUGGCGGCGUGCUUAACACAUGCAAGUCGAACGGAAAGGCCCUGCUUUUGUGGGGUGCUCGAGUGGCGAACGGGUGAGUAACACGUGAGUAACCUGCCCUUGACUUUGGGAUAACUUCAGGAAACUGGGGCUAAUACCGGAUAGGAGCUCCUGCUGCAUGGUGGGGGUUGGAAAGUUUCGGCGGUUGGGGAUGGACUCGCGGCUUAUCAGCUUGUUGGUGGGGUAGUGGCUUACCAAGGCUUUGACGGGUAGCCGGCCUGAGAGGGUGACCGGCCACAGUGGGACUGGGAUACGGCCCAGACUCCUACGGGAGGCAGCAGUGGGGAAUAGUGCACAAUGGGCGGAAGCCUGAUGCAGCAACGCCGCGUGCGGGAUGACGGCCUUCGGGUUGUAAGCCGCUUUCGCCUGUGACGAAGCGUGAGUGACGGUAAUGGGUAAAGAAGCACCGGCUAACUACGU
RNAcentral lists this ribosomal RNA (467 nucleotides) under uncultured bacterium. RNAcentral's name for it is "partial 16S ribosomal RNA". It matches the Rfam family "Bacterial small subunit ribosomal RNA", at positions 28 to 506 of the family's 1533-position model. The record is from RNAcentral.